Molecule: ribosomal RNA, 484 nt
Filed under: uncultured bacterium
Lineage: Bacteria
Description: partial 16S ribosomal RNA
Rfam family: Bacterial small subunit ribosomal RNA
Source: RNAcentral
AUUGAACGCUGGCGGCAGGCCUAACACAUGCAAGUCGAGCGGAUGAAGGGAGCUUGCUCCUGGAUUCAGCGGCGGACGGGUGAGUAAUGCCUAGGAAUCUGCCUGGUAGUGGGGGAUAACGUCCGGAAACGGGCGCUAAUACCGCAUACGUCCUGAGGGAGAAAGUGGGGGAUCUUCGGACCUCACGCUAUCAGAUGAGCCUAGGUCGGAUUAGCUAGUUGGUGGGGUAAAGGCCUACCAAGGCGACGAUCCGUAACUGGUCUGAGAGGAUGAUCAGUCACACUGGAACUGAGACACGGUCAAGACUCCUACGGGAGGCAGCAGUGGGGAAUAUUGGACAAUGGGCGAAAGCAUGAUACAGCCAUGCCGCGUGUGUGAAGAAGGUCUUCGGAUUGUAAAGCACUUUAAGUUGGGAGGAAGGGCAGUAAGUUAAUACCUUGCUGUUUUGACGUUACCAACAGAAUAAGCACCGGCUAACUUCGUG